CAAAUCUGAUAUUUUAAAUUAUUACAAUAAUAAACUGAAUAUAUUUUUAAUAAUAUCAUUUUCUAUAUUUUAAUUCACAAACUGGCAUCUCAUGCCUGUUCUUGGUGAUACGUACGUAUGAUGAAACUGUUCAAUCUAGACUAUGUCUAUCAUGUUAACAUGGCAAAUAGAUACAAUAGGCACAUCCCAAGUGUAUAUGGAUCAACCUAGACAAAAAUUUCUCAUUCAACAAACCACACCAGCCCAAACACAAAACAUCAUCAAUAUGCGUUGGUAGGUAACAGCUCCCUUGUCUUAUAAACAAGAUUUGGCUGUGUUGGAAAACCCUUUAGGAUUAUUUAUCUCUAUCUUGAAUGCACAAGGAGUGACCUUGGUACUCUAUGACUGCGCAAUAUCGAAUAGUUGCCUGAGAAUCUUCAUUUCCUAACAAAAUCAGGCUGAUUAGUGACGGAUCUCACCCAUGCCCAUUUAUGGUCCAUUACGUUAACUUCAUUCUUAGCUUCUGCAACUUCUUUCAAUGGGAUAUAAGCAUAGUUCCCAUUAAUAGGUCCACACACAAAUCCAGUGUAACCUGCCAUAACCCCAUGAAUUGCUGAAUGUGCAAGAAGAGUGCAAUAUAGAUUAUCCAUGGCAUUUGCAGGGACGGCACGUAUCAUAUACGUGGGAUCGAUAUACUUCACGGUGAAUAAAUCAUUUGGGUGGUCUCUAGACCACCAGUUCCUCAGCUCUGACUUCAACCAAGCACCAACAUCUAAGAAAACUGGGUUGCCUGAUUCAUCCCUCUCUUCUUUCUGGGCAUCUGUUCUUGGUAUCAUAUCCUGUCCUGCCCCCUCUGCAACAACCAGAACUGCAUGACCAUUUUCUUUUAAUCUCUUCUCAAGAAAUUCAAACAGCCCUCCUUUUCCUUCCAGAUAAAAUUCAGUUUCAGGAAUUAAACAGCAAUCCACAUCACGACUGCUCAACGUUGCAUAGAGGGCUAUAUGACCCGUGCUUCGACCCAUUAGCUUCACCAGGCCGAUACCAUUAACUGCACUCUCAGCCUCCACAUAAGCUGCAUUAAUUGCUUGUUGUGCCAUCUCCACAGCUGUCUGGAAUCCAAAUGAUUUGUCAAUAAUGCCUACAUCAUUGUCAACUGUUUUGGGAAUUGCAGCAACUCCAAUGUUCAGUUUCCGGCGACAAAUUUCAUCAAAUAUCUUUACAGCCCCACGCAAUGUUCCAUCUCCACCAAUGAUAUAGACCUGAUUAAAGCCCCGACUUUGAAUGGAAUCAACAAUCUUAUGGAGAUCAAAGCCACCCCUGGAGGUCUCCAAAACUGUACCACCCUUCUUAUGCCAGUCAUGGACAAGCUUCGGAUUCAGCUCAGUCGGUUCUCUUGAAUAGAAUCCUCUGUACCCAGCAACUAUCCCAUAUAUCUGACGCACCCCAUAUAGUUCCCACAGCCCAACCACCAGCUCCCUGAUCACCGUAUUCAUCCCAGGGCAGAGUCCCCCACAGGUAACAAUAGCUACCCGAGUGCUGCUUGGAUCAAAGAAGAUUUGCUGGCGUGGGCCAGCCCGAUGGUAGACAAACUGGGAAGCACCAGAAGAGAAGGUACCAGAAAGGUCGAUGAUAAUCUGGCGGAGGAUGAUGUCUGAGUGGGUAAGGUAGAAGCCAUCAGUUGGGUGGUAGAAAGGGUUGUUAUCUAAUUGGUUCGUGUAGGAUUUGAGAUCUGGCAAGUAGUCAGUUAAAUGGGGAGGUUUUUGGAGUUUAAAUGGGCAAGAUGAAAAGGAUUCUUCUGAAUUUUGGGUGGUAGUAGUGGGAUUGGUGGAUUCGGGCAAAGAAACCGCCAUGUCUACGGCGGCGAAGUAGCACUGUGGGG
This 1858-nucleotide unclassified non-coding RNA is filed under the name Hevea brasiliensis (rubber tree). The record is from RNAcentral. Lineage: Eukaryota; Viridiplantae; Streptophyta; Magnoliopsida; Malpighiales; Euphorbiaceae.